RNAcentral lists this non-coding RNA (22 nucleotides) under Arabidopsis thaliana (thale cress). The record is from RNAcentral. Lineage: Eukaryota; Viridiplantae; Streptophyta; Magnoliopsida; Brassicales; Brassicaceae.
UAGCAUGAUUGGUUGAGCUAUA